CUACGGGAGGCUCCAGCAGUGAAUCAUUUACAAUGCACGCAAGUGUGAUAAUGCGAACCAAAGUGUUUUUCGUAUAGAAAAACUUUUUUCCACUGUAAAAAUGUGGAAGAAUAAGGACUGGGAAAGACUGGUGCCAGCCGCCGCGGUAAUACCAGCAGUUCAAGUUGCAUCCCUUUUUAUUGGGUCUAAAACAUCCGUAGCUUGCCAUUUAAGUCUCUUGUGAAAUCCUACGUCUCAAGCGUGGGGCUUGCAGGAGAUACUGGGUGGCUAGAGAUCGGUAGACGUAAGGAGUACGCCGGGGGUAACGGUUAAAUGUGUUAAUCCUCGGUGGACUAACAAUCAGCGAAGGCACCUUACGAGGACGAAUCUGACAGUGAGGGAUGAAGGCCAGGGGCGCAAAACGGAUUAGAUACCCUAGUAGUC
Molecule: ribosomal RNA, 423 nt
Filed under: uncultured archaeon
Lineage: Archaea
Description: partial 16S ribosomal RNA
Rfam family: Archaeal small subunit ribosomal RNA
Source: RNAcentral